This 22-nucleotide microRNA is filed under the name Monodelphis domestica (gray short-tailed opossum). Its description in RNAcentral is "mdo-miR-7398g-3p". Lineage: Eukaryota; Metazoa; Chordata; Mammalia; Didelphimorphia; Didelphidae. The record is from miRBase by way of RNAcentral.
UAUCUCACCCUUCUCUGCCUGU